UAUAUGGUAGUGCGAUGCAUGCAAUUUCAAAAAUUUUAAGCAGUGAAACUAUAAGAUUAAAUAAUUUAAUCUAAAUUAAAUACAUAAAAUUUAAUCUAGACUAUCAUGUCAAAAUAAAUAAUAUGAUUUAAUAUGUACAUGAGAUUUGAAAAUAAAACUUGCAUCGAUCUGAUCGAUGCCGUAAUUCUAUAUCUAACUAUUAGAUUUGUUGGUACAGAAUUUCGUCGAUGUUGGAGAAGCUGG
Molecule: long non-coding RNA, 243 nt
Filed under: Elaeis guineensis (African oil palm)
Lineage: Eukaryota; Viridiplantae; Streptophyta; Magnoliopsida; Arecales; Arecaceae
Description: long non-coding RNA (EGUI_LNC040020)
Source: RNAcentral